This 640-nucleotide ribosomal RNA is filed under the name uncultured bacterium. Its description in RNAcentral is "partial 16S ribosomal RNA". The stretch from base 1 to 542 matches the Rfam family "Bacterial small subunit ribosomal RNA", at positions 338 to 873 of the family's 1533-position model. The record is from RNAcentral.
CCUACGGGAGGCAGCAGUGGGGAAUUUUGGACAAUGGACGCAAGUCUGAUCCAGCCAUGCCGCGUGUGGGAAGAAGGCCUUCGGGUUGUAAACCACUUUUGUCAGGGAAGAAACGGCUCGGGUUAAUACCUUGGGCUAAUGACGGUACCUGAAGAAUAAGCACCGGCUAACUACGUGCCAGCAGCCGCGGUAAUACGUAGGGUGCAAGCGUUAAUCGGAAUUACUGGGCGUAAAGCGUGCGCAGGCGGUUAUGCAAGACAGAUGUGAAAUCCCCGGGCUCAACCUGGGAACUGCAUUUGUGACUGCAUGGCUAGAGUACGGUAGAGGGGGAUGGAAUUCCGCGUGUAGCAGUGAAAUGCGUAGAUAUGCGGAGGAACACCGAUGGCGAAGGCAAUCCCCUGGACCUGUACUGACGCUCAUGCACGAAAGCGUGGGGAGCAAACAGGAUUAGAUACCCUGGUAGUCCACGCCCUAAACGAUGUCAACUGGUUGUUGGGAGGGUUUCUUCUCAGUAACGUAGCUAACGCGUGAAGUUGACCGCCGUCGGGAGGUACGGCCGGCGACGGUUAGUAACGUUAAAGGUAAAGUUAGUACGGACGUGAGACGUACGCCGACGGACGACGACGAGGGAGGUUAGGAG